GACGAACGCUGGCGGCGUGCCUAAUACAUGCAAGUUGAGCGAUGAAGAUUGGUGCUUGCACCAAUUUGAAGAGCAGCGAACGGGUGAGUAACGCGUGGGGAAUCUGCCUUUGAGCGGGGGACAACAUUUGGAAACGAAUGCUAAUACCGCAUAAUAACUUUAAACAUAAGUUUUAAGUUUGAAAGAUGCAAUUGCAUCACUCAAAGAUGAUCCCGCGUUGUAUUAGCUAGUUGGUGAGGUAAAGGCUCACCAAGGCGAUGAUACAUAGCCGACCUGAGAGGGUGAUCGGCCACAUUGGGACUGAGACACGGCCCAAACUCCUACGGGAGGCAGCAGUAGGGAAUCUUCGGCAAUGGACGAAAGUCUGACCGAACAACGCCGCGUGAGUGAAGAAGGUUUUCGGAUCGUAAAACUCUGUUGGUAGAGAAGAACGUUGGUGAGAGUGGAAAGCUCAUCAAGUGACGGUAACUACCCAGAAAGGGACGGCUAACUACGUG
Molecule: ribosomal RNA, 497 nt
Filed under: uncultured bacterium
Lineage: Bacteria
Description: partial 16S ribosomal RNA
Rfam family: Bacterial small subunit ribosomal RNA
Source: RNAcentral